CUGCGUGGUGGUGGGGGAUAACGUGCGGAAACGGACGCUAAUACCGCAUACGUCCUACGGGAGAAAGCAGGGGACCUUCGGGCCUUGCGCUAUCAGAUGAGCCUAGGUCGGAUUAGCUGGUUGGUGAGGGUAAUGGCUCACCAAGGCUAGGAUCCGUAACUGGUCUGAGAGGGUGAUCAGCCACACUGGGAGUGAGACACGGUCCAGCCUCCUACGGGAGGCAGCAGUGGGGAAUAUUGGACAAUGGGCGAAAGC
RNAcentral lists this ribosomal RNA (255 nucleotides) under uncultured bacterium. Its description in RNAcentral is "partial 16S ribosomal RNA". It matches the Rfam family "Bacterial small subunit ribosomal RNA", at positions 126 to 382 of the family's 1533-position model. The record is from RNAcentral.